Long non-coding RNA from Bos indicus x Bos taurus (hybrid cattle), 394 nucleotides. The record is from Ensembl. NCBI's taxonomy places the organism in Eukaryota, Metazoa, Chordata, Mammalia, Artiodactyla, Bovidae.
UCAGUUGCUCAGUUGUGUCUGACUCUUUGCGACCCUAUGGACAGUAGUCCGCCAGGCCCCGCUGUCCAUGGGGAUUCUCCAGGCUGGAAUGCUGGAGUGGGUUGCCAUGCCCUCUUCCAGGGGAUCUUCCCAACCGAGGGACUGAACCAGCCAGGUCUUCCGUAUUGCAGGCAGAUUCCUGACCGUCUGUGCCAUCAGGGCGUGAACAGAGCCUGCGGUGAAGACAAAGGUGGCAGAAUGGUGCUCCUGUGUGGUAAAACAACUAGACAUGUGUGGAGCAGUUUAUGCAACAAAGACAAAGCAAAACUGGAGGACCUAUGAUCCAAGACAAGGCAAGUGUAGAAAACUGGAUGUAUUUAUGUUCAUCUCUAUAUGUGUUAUUUUUAAGUUUUUC